GGGAAUGUGGCUCAAGGGUAGAGUAUCCGUCUCCAAAACGGAAGAUUGAGGGUUCAAGUCCCUCCAUUCCCG
This 72-nucleotide transfer RNA is filed under the name bacterium. RNAcentral's name for it is "tRNA-Trp". It matches the Rfam family "tRNA". From Rfam's summary of the family: Transfer RNA (tRNA) molecules are approximately 80 nucleotides in length. Their secondary structure includes four short double-helical elements and three loops (D, anti-codon, and T loops). The record is from RNAcentral.